This 71-nucleotide transfer RNA is filed under the name Loxodonta africana (African savanna elephant). It matches the Rfam family "tRNA". From Rfam's summary of the family: Transfer RNA (tRNA) molecules are approximately 80 nucleotides in length. Their secondary structure includes four short double-helical elements and three loops (D, anti-codon, and T loops). Further hydrogen bonds mediate the characteristic L-shaped molecular structure. tRNAs have two regions of fundamental functional importance: the anti-codon, which is responsible for specific mRNA codon recognition, and the 3' end, to which the tRNAs corresponding amino acid is attached (by aminoacyl-tRNA synthetases). tRNAs cope with the degeneracy of the genetic code in two manners: having more than one tRNA (with a specific anti-codon) for a particular amino acid; and 'wobble' base-pairing, i.e. permitting non-standard base-pairing at the 3rd anti-codon position. Lineage: Eukaryota; Metazoa; Chordata; Mammalia; Proboscidea; Elephantidae. The record is from Rfam by way of RNAcentral.
GCAAUGGAGGUUCAGUGGUAGAAUUCUCUCUUCCGUGCUCAGGGACCUGGGUUCGAUUCCCAGUCAAUGCA